Molecule: small RNA, 156 nt
Filed under: Cyanothece sp.
Lineage: Bacteria; Bacillati; Cyanobacteriota; Cyanophyceae; Gomontiellales; Cyanothecaceae
Description: c-di-AMP sequence
Rfam family: c-di-AMP riboswitch aptamer (ydaO/yuaA leader)
About the family: This family represents a conserved RNA structure found upstream of the ydaO and yuaA genes in Bacillus subtilis and related genes in other bacteria.
Source: RNAcentral
UCCUAAACCUUGCCAAAUCAACCCUAAGAAAAAUUUGGGAAAGUCGGGAACGGGGGAACCGAUAUCAGGGGCUAAUCUCUAUGGUGCGUAUUCUAGAGAAGAACAUCUCUCAGUUCUAGCCCGUCAGCUAACCUCGUCGGCAUUGAGAGGAGACGC